UAACACGUGGGGAACCUGCCCCAUAGUCUGGGAUACCACUUGGAAACAGGUGCUAAUACCGGAUAAGAAAGCGGAUCGCAUGAUCAGCUUUUAAAAGGCGGCGUAAGCUGUCGCUAUGGGAUGGCCCCGCGGUGCAUUAGCUAGUUGGUAAGGUAAAGGCUUACCAAGGCGAUGAUGCAUAGCCGAGUCGAGAGACUGAUCGGCCACAUUGGGACUGAGACACGGCCCAAACUCCUACGGGAGGCAGCAGGG
Molecule: ribosomal RNA, 252 nt
Filed under: uncultured Lactobacillus sp.
Lineage: Bacteria; Bacillati; Bacillota; Bacilli; Lactobacillales; Lactobacillaceae
Description: partial 16S ribosomal RNA
Rfam family: Bacterial small subunit ribosomal RNA
Source: RNAcentral